RNAcentral lists this ribosomal RNA (510 nucleotides) under uncultured bacterium. RNAcentral describes it as "partial 16S ribosomal RNA". It matches the Rfam family "Bacterial small subunit ribosomal RNA", at positions 28 to 507 of the family's 1533-position model. The record is from RNAcentral.
GACGAACGCUGGCGGCGUGCUUAACACAUGCAAGUCGAACGAAGAGCGAUGGAAGCUUGCUUCUAUCAAUCUUAGUGGCGAACGGGUGAGUAACGCGUAAUCAACCUGCCCUUCAGAGGGGGACAACAGUUGGAAACGACUGCUAAUACCGCAUACGAUCUAAUCUCGGCAUCGAGGAUAGAUGAAAGGUGGCCCCUACAUGUAAGCUAUCACUGAAGGAGGGGAUUGCGUCUGAUUAGCUAGUUGGAGGGGUAACGGCCCACUAAGGCGAUGAUCAGUAGCCGGUCUGAGAGGAUGAACGGCCACAGUGGGACUGAGACACGGCCCAGACUCCUACGGGAGGCAGCAGUGGGGAAUCUUCCGCAAUGGACGAAAGUCUGACGGAGCAACGCCGCGUGAGUGAUGACGGCCUUCGGGUUGUAAAGCUCUGUUAAUCGGGACGAAAGGCCUUCUUGCGAAUAGUGAGAAGGAUUGACGGUACCGGAAUAGAAAGCCACGGCUAACUACGUG